This 29-nucleotide non-coding RNA is filed under the name Homo sapiens (human). Lineage: Eukaryota; Metazoa; Chordata; Mammalia; Primates; Hominidae. The record is from RNAcentral.
UGGAAAGAGCUUUAGGACAGCUUAGAUGC